This 483-nucleotide ribosomal RNA is filed under the name uncultured bacterium. RNAcentral describes it as "partial 16S ribosomal RNA". It matches the Rfam family "Bacterial small subunit ribosomal RNA", at positions 28 to 507 of the family's 1533-position model. The record is from RNAcentral.
GACGAACGCUGGCGGCGUGCUUAACACAUGCAAGUCGAACGCUGAAGCUCAGCUUUUGUUGGGUGGAUGAGUGGCGAACGGGUGAGUAACACGUGAGUAACCUGCCUCCUUCUUUGGGAUAACGCCCGGAAACGGGUGCUCAUACUGGAUAUUCACUGGUCUUCGCAUGGGGGUUGGUGGAAAGGGUUUUUCUGGUGGGGGAUGGGCUCGCGGCCUAUCAGCUUGUUGGUGGGGUGAUGGCCUACCAAGGCUUUGACGGGUAGCCGGCCUGAGAGGGUGACCGGUAACAUUGGGACUGAGAUACGGCCCAGAGUCCUACGGGAAGGAGCAGUGGGGAAUAUUGCACAAUGGGCGCAAGCCUGAUGCAGCGACGCCGCGUGAGGGAUGGAGGCCUUCGGGUUGUGAACCUCUUUAGCUCAUGGUCAAGCCGCAACAAUGGUUGUGGUGAGGGUAGUGAGUAAAGAAGCGCCGGCUAACUACGUG